Molecule: ribosomal RNA, 133 nt
Filed under: uncultured bacterium
Lineage: Bacteria
Description: partial 16S ribosomal RNA
Rfam family: Bacterial small subunit ribosomal RNA
Source: RNAcentral
UCAGAAUCUUGCACAAUGGGCGAAAGCCUGAUGCAGCGAUGCCGCGUGUGCGAAGAAGGCCUUCGGGUCGUAAAGCACUGUCAGAGGGGAAGAUUAUGACGGUACCCUCAAAGGAAGCCACGGCUAAUUACGU